GAACACUGCGGCUCUCGCCCAGCUGGAGCUCUGGCUGCCGUGCCCAAGUGAGCCCCGAGGGUUUCUUUGUGAGCUGAGCCCGAGCACGACGCCUGCUGCACGCCACGCUGUGAGGAGCAAGCGCUCUGCCGUCCCACACUAGCUGGACGUUUUCAGUAGACAUCCAAAUGUGGAAAACCAUCUUCUAACCAAAGCAGUAUGUCCGUGCCGCACAGCACCAUACCAGUGAGCAUGAAGAAAAUACACUCUAUCCCAGCUGAAACCAGGACACGGUGGUAUUACAAAGUGGCAUUUCAAGGCAAUGCAUGAAUCCAGCAGGUCUUCAGGUGGCAUUUCAAGGGCGCAGUGGGGCAUGGAGGCUGGCAGUGGCAGGAGCAGUCAUAAAACAGGACGCGCAGAAAGGAUUGACCUGAGCUGAAGGAUGCAUUUAAGUGCUGCUGACCUUGUCAUCAAGCCUUAAGAUGAGACAUCUGCCGAGAUGAGCUCUGUUUAUGGCAGUGGCCACCCCCAGCCCCAGUUUGCCCCAGCAGCACCGGUGCUUGCCCAGCACCAGGACCGCAGCCUGCUCCCAGAAGGGCAGAGCGAGACAAGGAUGGGUCACACCGGAUGGGCUGGGGAAGAGAAAAGGAGAAAGACGACUUCCAUCAUCGUCCUGUCUGACUGGGAACCAUCGUGGAGACAUCAGUGGUGCCAAGCGACAGUCGGUCCCUGAGUUUACAGCACGCAGAGGCAAUGAAGUUCUACACAGUGCCCAGCAUCUCCUACUAAAAUUGUGUCACCCUGAUGAUCACAGGAGUCCGGUGCACGUCUCGCUCGUCUGCGUGUCAGAAGGCAGACUGCUCACCGGCAGAGGGUGGAUGUCGGAAUUUCCCUGUGAGGCCAUUAAACAAGGCUGCUGA
This 899-nucleotide long non-coding RNA is filed under the name Anser brachyrhynchus (Pink-footed goose). Its description in RNAcentral is "lncRNA (ENSABRG00000012273.1)". Lineage: Eukaryota; Metazoa; Chordata; Aves; Anseriformes; Anatidae. The record is from RNAcentral.